Molecule: long non-coding RNA, 918 nt
Organism: Micropterus salmoides (largemouth bass)
Lineage: Eukaryota; Metazoa; Chordata; Actinopteri; Centrarchiformes; Centrarchidae
Exons: 3
Source: RefSeq, a predicted model, not a curated record
CACAAGAAAAAAGGUGAAACCAAACAAAGAGGACAGAACGUACGUCACUGCAGAAGACAGACCCAUCACCAGAGUAGGAUGACAUUGGCCAGCCUCAGAACUAACAAGUGUCACCUUCCACUGAAUUUGGGGAAGAUGGCAGGACCAUCAUCUGACUGAUUUGUUAAAUCAGAGCUUUUCAAAGUCUGGGACUGUGGGCCACCCCUCAGACAUAGUUUGGGAAAAGGCACACCCUCACCACCCCUUAGUUUACUUGCUUAGUUUUGCAUGCUUAUACCAGGAAAGGAAACUUCCUGAAUCCUUGCUGUUGCACAAAGAUGGGAGAAAUUGAAAAGUGAAGAGUCAGAACCACUCAGCAGAAAUCACUGUGGAGAAAAGAGAGCAGGAGAACAAGCUAGAGUGUAACGUUGUCCUGUGGAGGGAGAGACUGAAUGUCUCAAGCAUCAAAUCAGGAUGUUUGCUCUCAUCUGGGUGACUUUGCUUUUCUCUGUGAGAGGCAGUAAUGCAGACACAGGUCCUGUGCAACAUUGCAGAUCUGAAGUGCUUCCCCAGGCCGUUGCUGGUAUAGUGGAAGUGUCUUCUACAGAAUCUACGUGAUGUUCCUUUGGCAUGUUACUCCAUCUGCAUGUUAUGUUUAAAUGGUAUGUUGAUGCACUGGAGACUUUUAGGCAAAAGAUCAUGACUCAUUCUAUAUUUUUCUCCAAAGGAAAGCAAGAAAAAAAGUGAAACCAAGUCAAGUGGACAGAACUUAGAAGUCCCUGCAGAAAACAGACAGAUCACCAGAGUAUGGUGUUAUUGGACAACCUUUGAAGUGACAAAUCAGCUUUCACCAUGUCUUUACAGUCUUCAGGGAUGGUUUUCAGACAGCGUGCAUGAAGGAUUUUUUUUGCACUGGAAUAAAUAAAUUUUGGACAAAAA